UGAGUUAAUUAUACGGUCGCGGGCCGCGAAUGCGGCGUGAGGAAAGUCCGAGCAUCGCAGGGCAAGGGUGCCUGUUAACGGCAGGAGAAGGCGACUUCAAGGAAAGUGAACAGAAAUAUACCGCAGCGCUCGCGCUGUAAGGUUGGAAUGGCGAGGUAAGAGCUCACCGUCUCUUUGGUAACAGGGAGAGCCAAUUAAACCCCACCCGAUGCAAGAUUGGGCUAUCGGCUUGCUUGAAUGCAAAGGCUGCCCGUCUGACGAUAGCCGUAAAUAUCGCUUGAACGUGCAGGCGACUGCGCGUCUAGAUAGAUGACCGUACACGACAGAACUCGGCUUACAGAUUAAACUCAAAUU
This 354-nucleotide RNase P RNA is filed under the name Clostridia bacterium. RNAcentral's name for it is "RNase P RNA component class A". It matches the Rfam family "Bacterial RNase P class A". Rfam says of the family: Ribonuclease P (RNase P) is a ubiquitous endoribonuclease, found in archaea, bacteria and eukarya as well as chloroplasts and mitochondria. Its best characterised activity is the generation of mature 5'-ends of tRNAs by cleaving the 5'-leader elements of precursor-tRNAs. The record is from RNAcentral. Lineage: Bacteria; Bacillati; Bacillota; Clostridia.